GUUGUAUAGUCAAGUAAUUAAGUGCAUGUGGUGGAUGCCUUGGCAGUCAGAGGCGAUGAAAGACGUGAUAGCCUGCGAAAAGCUCCGGGGAGGCGGCAAAUAUCCUUUGAUCCGGAGAUGUCUGAAUGGGGGAACCCACCUACUUUAAGGUAGGUAUUGCAACAUGAAUACAUAGUGUUGCAAGGCGAACGAGGGGAAGUGAAACAUCUCAGUACCCUUAGGAAAAGAAAUCAAUUGAGAUUCCCUCAGUAGCGGCGAGCGAACGGGGAUCAGCCCAUUAAGUUAUGUGUGUUUUAGUGGAACGCUCUGGGAAGUGCGAACGUAGAGGGUGAUAUUCCCGUACACGAAAGGGCACACAUAAUGAUGACGAGUAGGGCGAGGCACGUGAAACCUUGUCUGAAUAUGGGGGGACCAUCCUCCAAGGCUAAAUACUCCUGACUGACCGAUAGUGAACCAGUACCGUGAGGGAAAGGCGAAAAGAACCCCUGUGAGGGGAGUGAAAUAGAUCCUGAAACCGCAUGCAUACAAGCAGUGGGAGCACCUUCGUGGUGUGACUGCGUACCUUUUGUAUAAUGGGUCAGCGACUUAUAUUCAGUAGCAAGGUUAACCGUAUAGGGGAGCCGUAGAGAAAUCGAGUCUUAAUAGGGCGUUUAGUUGCUGGGUAUAGACCCGAAACCAGGCGAUCUAUCCAUGAGCAGGUUGAAGGUUGGGUAACACUAACUGGAGGACCGAACCCACUGUCGUUGAAAAGCCAGGGGAUGACUUGUGGAUAGGGGUGAAAGGCUAAUCAAGCCUGGUGAUAGCUGGUUCUCCCCGAAAGCUAUUUAGGUAGCGCCUCGGACGAAUACCAUAGGGGGUAGAGCACUGUUUCGGCUAGGGGGUCAUCCCGACUUACCAAACCGAUGCAAACUCCGAAUACCUAUGAGUACUAUCCGGGAGACAGACUGCGGGUGCUAACGUCCGUAGUCAAGAGGAAAACAAUCCAGACCGCCAGCUAAGGCCCCAAAAUCAUAGUUAAGUGGGAAACGAUGUGGGAAGGCAUAGACAGCUAGGAGGUUGGCUUAGAAGCAGCCACCCUUUAAAGAAAGCGUAAUAGCUCACUAGUCGAGUCGGCCUGCGCGGAAGAUGUAACGGGGCUAAAACUAUGUGCCGAAGCUGCGGAUNNNNNNNUGCUGGAGGUAUCAGAAGUGCGAAUGCUGACGUGAGUAACGACAAAACGGGUGAAAAACCCGUUCGCCGAAAGACCAAGGGUUCCAGUCCAACGUUAAUCGGGGCUGGGUGAGUCGACCCCUAAGGCGAGGCCGAAAGGCGUAGUCGAUGGGAAAAUGGUUAAUAUUCCAUUACUUCUGUGUAAUGCGAUGAGAGGACGGAGAAGGCUAAAUCAGCCUGGCGUUGGUUGUCCAGGUGAAAGGAUGUAGGCAUGUAUCUUAGGCAAAUCCGGGGUACUCUAUGCUGAGAUCUGAUAGCAAGCUGUACUUGUACAGCGAAGUGGUUGAUGCCAUGCUUCCAGGAAAAGUCUCUAAGCUUCAGUUACACAGGAAUCGUACCCGAAACCGACACAGGUGGUCAGGUCGAGUAGACCAAGGCGCUUGAGAGAACUCUGCUGAAGGAACUAGGCAAAAUGGUACCGUAACUUCGGGAGAAGGUACGCUGUUGUUGGUGAUGGAACUCGCUUCCUGAGCUGACGACAGCCGCAGAAACCAGGCCGCUGCAACUGUUUAUUAAAAACAUAGCACUCUGCAAACACGAAAGUGGACGUAUAGGGUGUGAUGCCUGCCCGGUGCUGGAAGGUUAAUUGAUGGGGUUAGCGUAAGCGAAGCUCUUGAUCGAAGCCCCAGUAAACGGCGGCCGUAACUAUAACGGUCCUAAGGUAGCGAAAUUCCUUGUCGGGUAAGUUCCGACCUGCACGAAUGGCAUAAUGAUGGCGGCGCUGUCUCCAGCAGAGGCUCAGUGAAAUCGAAAUCGCUGUGAAGAUGCAGUGUACCCGCGGCUAGACGGAAAGACCCCGUGAACCUUUACUGCAGCUUGACACUGAACUUUGACCUUACUUGUGUAGGAUAGGUGGGAGGCUUUGAAGCUGGAACGCUAGUUCCAGUGGAGCCGUCCUUGAAAUACCACCCUGGUAAUGUUGAGGUUCUAACUCUGUCCCGUGAUCCGGGACGAGGACCGUGUCUGGUGGGUAGUUUGACUGGGGCGGUCUCCUCCUAAAGAGUAACGGAGGAGUACGAAGGUGCGCUCAGCGUGGUCGGAAAUCACGCGUAGAGUAUAAAGGCAAAAGCGCGCUUAACUGCGAGACCCACAAGUCGAGCAGGUACGAAAGUAGGUCUUAGUGAUCCGGUGGUUCUGUAUGGAAGGGCCAUCGCUCAACGGAUAAAAGGUACUCUGGGGAUAACAGGCUGAUACCGCCCAAGAGUUCAUAUCGACGGCGGUGUUUGGCACCUCGAUGUCGGCUCAUCUCAUCCUGGGGCUGAAGCAGGUCCCAAGGGUAUGGCUGUUCGCCAUUUAAAGAGGUACGCGAGCUGGGUUUAGAACGUCGUGAGACAGUUCGGUCCCUAUCUACCGUGGGCGCUGGAAAUUUGAGAGGAUCUGCUCCUAGUACGAGAGGACCAGAGUGGACGAACCUCUGGUGUACCGGUUGUGACGCCAGUCGCAUCGCCGGGUAGCUAUGUUCGGAAGGGAUAACCGCUGAAAGCAUCUAAGCGGGAAGCCUACCUCAAGAUAAGAUUUCCCUAGGACUUUAUGUCCUCUAAAGAGCCGUUCGAGACUAGGACGUUGAUAGGUUGGAUGUGGAAGCAUAGUGAUAUGUGAAGCUGACCAAUACUAAUUGCUCGUGAGGCUUGACUAUACAACACCCAAGCAGUUG
This 2863-nucleotide ribosomal RNA is filed under the name Acinetobacter baumannii. RNAcentral describes it as "bacterial LSU rRNA". It matches the Rfam family "Bacterial large subunit ribosomal RNA". Lineage: Bacteria; Pseudomonadati; Pseudomonadota; Gammaproteobacteria; Moraxellales; Moraxellaceae. The record is from RNAcentral.